AUGAACUGAAGCAAGUGGUUUCAUCCAACAUUCAAGAUACAUGAGAAAUAUUUGCUUUAUCGGAAGCGUAAUCAACCGUUAGGCACGGUUCUCUCUGUGAUAACUAAACGAGCAUGAAAACUAGAAAAGUCAUAAUGAUGCAGAUUAGAGUAUACGGUGGAGUUAACCAAAUUUAAACGACUGAGGAAAUUACGAAGACCAAAAGAAUUUGAAAUUCCGGAAAAAAUAGAAGUGGACAACUCUAAAUAAUAUGUGUAGCAGAGAAAAAGAUGGUAUGAUGUAACAUCUUCAGAACAUUGUUCAAGAUUACAGCUAGAAUUAACACGUAAUGGUUAAUUGAUAGCACAAGAUUAACACGGAGAGUAACUAAAUUCUUUUCGUUUUGACCUUCAAAAUGACGGAAGCCAAUACACCACCUCCCAAUCUGAUGGGAUCGGUCGAGGAAAACACCAAAAUGAAGGAACAUUUGGAUAAUCACACAGGAUAGAUAACCACGGCAAAUUUAAAGUCUGACGAUGCACUUAGUUCUUGUCACUUCAUAUCAUCGAGAUGGGCUAGCUAAUAAGGUAAACCAUAAGACUAGCUGACUUCAACCCUGCAGUUAGGUCACAAUGUUGAAUCUGCUGAACCCUUGAAACUAGAAUAUAGCGAUGAUGGGAACUGCUGCUUUAAAGAAGAAACUACCAUGUCUUCAGGAUCACAGAAUGGAAACAAUCAGAUGCAAAUUGAAUGUCCUUCCUGGCAUGUAACUUGUCCUCUUACAUGUAUCAUUGAAAAUGUAUUUUGAUUUCAGACAGGAGUUGUAAACAUUGCUGCCUUGAUUUCUUGCCUACCAGGUAUAACAUUGGUAGCAUGUCACAAGCAUUGUUAGGUGUGAUGAAAGCCAAUUUAUCUUUAUUAUUGAAAAACACCAUAUGAAACAACAUAAUAAUUUUGGUGAGGUUAUGAAAAUUUGGAUGUAUGAAAUAAAGUAUGGUAUAUA
Macrobrachium nipponense is the source of this 982-nucleotide long non-coding RNA. RefSeq lists it as uncharacterized. The record is from RefSeq and is a predicted model, not a curated record. The transcript has 3 exons. NCBI's taxonomy places the organism in Eukaryota, Metazoa, Arthropoda, Malacostraca, Decapoda, Palaemonidae.